RNAcentral lists this long non-coding RNA (311 nucleotides) under Capsicum annuum. RNAcentral's name for it is "long non-coding RNA (CANN_LNC008285)". The record is from RNAcentral. Lineage: Eukaryota; Viridiplantae; Streptophyta; Magnoliopsida; Solanales; Solanaceae.
GGUAUUAAAAGGUAGUGAUACGUGAGGGAUGUGAACUGGAGAUUGGUUUGGUGGAUUAAUGAGUAAUUGAUUAGAAGGAGUAACAUAGGUAGUGUAGGUGGGUGGUUGACUUUGUGGAGGUGUAUAGAUGAGUAGUGGAUUUGGUGGAUUGGCGGGAGUGGUUGGAGGCAGAUUAUUGUUCAUAGGUGGAGGAUGUUGAGGAGAAAAGUGUUCUGGGACUGGUGAAUCAAGUGAUGGAAAGCGUGGUGGAUUUGGUGCGGCAUUUCUAGGUUCAGGGGGUGGACUUUGGAGUGUAAUGGACAAAUUGGUCA